This 257-nucleotide ribosomal RNA is filed under the name uncultured Streptococcus sp. RNAcentral's name for it is "partial 16S ribosomal RNA". It matches the Rfam family "Bacterial small subunit ribosomal RNA", at positions 1131 to 1382 of the family's 1533-position model. Lineage: Bacteria; Bacillati; Bacillota; Bacilli; Lactobacillales; Streptococcaceae. The record is from RNAcentral.
UUGGGCACUCUAGCGAGACUGCCGGUAAUAAACCGGAGGAAGGUGGGGAGUGACGUCAAAUCAUCAUGCCCCUUACUGACCUGGGCUACACACGUGCUACAAUGGUUGGUACAACGAGUUGCGAGUCGGUGACGGCGGAGCUAAUACUCUUAAAGCCAAUCUCAGUUCGGAUUGUAGGCUGCAACUCGCCUACAUGAAGUCGGAAUCGCUAGUAAUCGCGGAUCAGCACGCCGCGGUCGAAUACGUUCCCGGGCCUU